Gallus gallus (chicken) is the source of this 1857-nucleotide long non-coding RNA. NCBI's taxonomy places the organism in Eukaryota, Metazoa, Chordata, Aves, Galliformes, Phasianidae. The record is from Ensembl.
GUUGAAGUGCUAUGAAAAUGUACUUCCUACUUUAUCUUUCAGGUUCUUGAAUAAACAAUAUGAGAUAGAAUAAUUAUGCUAUUUCUAAGUGAAUCUAUCUUUUGAAAAAAGAAUCAUUUCCAGGCACUUGUAUGAUAAUAGAGUUUUUAUUUGGCUACAACUAUUUUGCUAAAAUGCAUCUAUUGCAUGGGUCAAUCCCAUCCUAUUGUUAGUAGUUUUGGUUCUGCAGAGAUGACUAAUCACAUCAUAUCACACAGCACAGCAGCAGGAGUUGUCUUUGGUUUAUAAACAUGUAAGUAUAUACAUAUAUACUUAUAUAUAUAAACAGUCUAAAAUGUUUGAAUGGUCAGUGCUUGAUAACUGCAUUUGGUAGAAAAUGUAAAGCCUAAUGUGUUUUGUGGAGCACAUCUUUUAAAAAGAAUGAAUAUCCAAGUUUGAUGAAGACACAGUCAUAUUUUUAGGAUUCCCAACAUUGCCAAAUCACAAGUUUUAUUUUGAAAUGAAUUUAUUAGUACAUACACAUUCUCUUAGAUCUUCUUUGUGUCUUUGGAGUAACAUUUUCUUUGCUGUGUGAGGAGACUUAUGUCUUAUGACUAUUUCUUAGCCUUGGGAUAUAGAUGCAUACAUGUAGAUUUCACUGAUCUUCAGAGGCUAAUCAUAACAGAAGAAAAAAAAAAGAAAAAUAAAAAAAACAGAUUCUAGUUUCAGAUUAUGCAAGUAAUUGCAAAGGACAUCUGCUUCCACUACUAGUUUCCAUAGAUCUAAGUCCAUUUUCAAAUACAUACUACUAUAGAAAAGUCCAGCGUCAGUUUGAAUUUCAAAUUCAUUUGCAUUUGUAAUUAGUACAUCUCUUCCAACAAACCCUCUAUACUGUGUAUUUUAAAUUAGAAGGUUUCCUUCACAUUUUGUUUGCUACACACUUUUCUUGCUUAAUCUCUAAAGAUUUUCUGAACUGUGCUCCUUUUAUCUAAAUACCUAUUUACAUUUUAUUGAAAAAAAAAAACAGUAUAAGAAGGAUAGUAUAUUUAUGCUAGAAUGAAUGAUCUGAAUGAGGUAGCACAAGAAGUAACGCAGUACAGAGUUGAAGAAAGGAAGCAAGUUAAUAUAAAUAAGAGAAGGAUUAUGCUUCUCUUAUGCUUUUUCUUUCUCCAGUGUUAUAAAAUUUAUAGCUACACUGAUGAUUGAAUUUAGAUGGCUUUAUGUACUACAUAAUAACAGAUCUAUUCCAUUUUGGGUUUCUUCUUGUUGUUGCUUUUGUUUUUGUUUUUCCUUUUUUAAAUGGAGCAUUUUUCCUCUUCAAAACUCCGAUUCUGUUCUUGAAAAAUAGCAAAAGUAUAGCAAAAAUAUGUUUACUGCUCCUGCUUCUCCACACUGGUGGUGGAGGAACUGAUGGCAAGGGAUGUGAUACUUGACCUUUUCUCUUACUAACAAAGAAGGGCUGGUCAGAGAAGUGAAUGUUGUGGGCAGCUUGGGAUGCAGUGACUAGGGAAGGGAAGGGAAGAUCAUACUGUGUAUCUUGAUACUUCAUUCACUGAAUGUUAUAUUGUCUCUAUAUUAUAACAUUUCAAAAGCAGAGUUGGUAGGUCUGAAAGUAUAAGCACGUCCUUUGAAUCACCUCCUAAAAACAGGAAAAUGCUUUAGUAGAAAACAAAUAUAUUUGUGCUCACUAACAAUAGGUAAUCUUAAUCUGCAAUAUGAUUUCUACAACUAUUUUCAAAAAGGCAGGUAGAUCAUCUCCAGGAAAUCUUUUUCUUAUGGUAAAAUUUUGCCACUAACAAAUUAAAGAAAGGCAUAAGCUUUUCACUGAUCAAGUUAAUCACUUUUAUCAGCUAUGCAAAUAUUCUAACAAGUUAUUUU